RNAcentral lists this ribosomal RNA (253 nucleotides) under uncultured bacterium. RNAcentral describes it as "partial 16S ribosomal RNA". It matches the Rfam family "Bacterial small subunit ribosomal RNA", at positions 524 to 776 of the family's 1533-position model. The record is from RNAcentral.
UACGUAGGGUGCAAGCGUUGUCCGGAAUUAUUGGGCGUAAAGAGCUCGUAGGCGGUUUGUUGCGUCGGCUGUGAAAUCCCGAGGCUCAACCUCGGGUCUGCAGUCGAUACGAGCAAACUAGAGUGUUGCAGGGGAGACUGGAAUUCCUGGUGUAGCGGUGAAAUGCGCAGAUAUCAGGAGGAACACCGGUGGCGAAGGCGGGUCUCUGGGCAACAACUGACGCUGAGGGACGAAAGCUAGGGGAGCAAACGGG